This 450-nucleotide ribosomal RNA is filed under the name uncultured Glomeromycotina. Its description in RNAcentral is "SSU rRNA". It matches the Rfam family "Eukaryotic small subunit ribosomal RNA", at positions 569 to 1024 of the family's 1831-position model. Lineage: Eukaryota; Fungi; Glomeromycota. The record is from RNAcentral.
AGCAGCCGCGGUAAUUCCAGCUCCAAUAGCGUAUAUUAAAGUUGUUGCAGUUAAAAAGCUCGUAGUUGAAUUUCGGGAUUAGUACGUUGGUCGUGCCUUCGGUACGUACUGGUGUUACUGAUUCCUACCUUCUGACGAACCAUCAUGUCAUUUAUUUGGUGUGGCGGGGAAUCAGGACUGUUACUUUGAAAAAAUUAGAGUGUUUAAAGCAGGCUCGCGCUUGAAUACAUUAGCAUGGAAUAAUGAAAUAGGACGUUGACCCUAUUUUGUUGGUUUCUAGGAUUGACGUAAUGAUUAAUAGGGAUAGUUGGGGGCAUUAGUAUUCAAUUGUCAGAGGUGAAAUUCUUGGAUUUAUUGAAGACUAACUACUGCGAAAGCAUUUGCCAAGGAUGUUUUCAUUAAUCAAGAACGAAAGUUAGGGGAUCGAAGACGAUCAGAUACCGUCGUAGU